RNAcentral lists this ribosomal RNA (230 nucleotides) under uncultured microorganism. RNAcentral describes it as "partial 16S ribosomal RNA". It matches the Rfam family "Bacterial small subunit ribosomal RNA", at positions 524 to 753 of the family's 1533-position model. The record is from RNAcentral.
UACGGAGGGGGCUAGCGUUGUUCGGAAUUACUGGGCGUAAAGGGUGCGUAGGCGGCUGUCCAAGUCGGGUGUGAAAGCCCCGGGCUCAACCCGGGAUGUGCAUCCGAGACUGGGCGGCUAGAGUUCGGGAGAGGUGAGUGGAAUUCCCAGUGUAGAGGUGAAAUUCGUAGAUAUUGGGAAGAACACCGGUGGCGAAGGCGGCUCACUGGACCGACACUGACGCUGAGGCA